Molecule: long non-coding RNA, 1160 nt
Organism: Fukomys damarensis (Damara mole-rat)
Lineage: Eukaryota; Metazoa; Chordata; Mammalia; Rodentia; Bathyergidae
Exons: 8
Source: RefSeq, a predicted model, not a curated record
UCUUUAGUGCAGACCUCCUCCCCCUCUGAAGCCUCGCCUUCUCUCUGAGGCAGAUCACAGAGGUCCUGGGCAGCCUUCAGGUGAUUCUAUCUGAGUGCAGCUAGGCCUGGUGUGUCCUGGGAACAGCACAAAGUAUGAGACAUUUGUUUUGUGACUUACGAGUGAGGGCCGUUAGAGCGUCUAAGGAAGACAACUCUGCCAUUCUUCGCACUGGUAUCAGUCUGACCUGAGCCUGUCCCAGCAGCACCCGGGUCCUCUGCAUUUCAGGACUGUGAUGAGCUCCAUGAUCUGCACAAGUUAGAUGGAAGAUGCAUAAGGAGGAGAGACCUGGAUGAUUCGAGCUUUGUCUGGGCAGUUGGAGGAGCAAAGUCCAUCCACAUUAUGAGAUGAGGGAGACUGUGGAAGGGGGUUUGUGGGAAAUAUCAGGAGCUCAGAUUUGGAAGUGUGUAAGUGCUAACAGACAAAAGUGACUUUAAAACUGCUCAUCAGAGGGCUGAAGUAUCUGAUAAGCAAAGACCACACAUGCAAAUGUAGAAACAGACCUCUUUAUAAAUGAUGUCUGACAAGGAAAAGGAUAGCUGCGGCAUAGGAGCUCUGGAAAAUCUGAGACUUCUUUCAAAUGAUCUUUGCACUUUUGGACAUGGAGAUGGUCACAAAACACUGGGGGAAACAUCAAAGGGGUGUCACAGACAUGGAACGGAGCAAACCAGAAAGAGGAUGGUGUACACUCAACAAGCCCCAAAGAGAACAGGGAAGAGCAUCAGAUUAAGGAGUCACACAAGUCAAAGGACUGAAUCUGCAACAUAAGUAAAAGUAAAAUAGCUGAAUACAUGGAAGGAAAACAUUUUCCAUUCUAAGAAACAGACCUCCCUAAAAUGUUGCAUCACAGCCUUUAACUGCCCAUGACAACCGUGAAAUCAGAAAAAGAGGGAAGAAGAAACUAGAACAAAGUGCAUUUCAAAUAACAAUAAUGGACUUAAGGAGCCACAGAAAGGCACAUGGAUCAACAGGACAGCUUUGAAGGAGACCUGGACCAAGAGGGCUGGCAGGCAGAAAGACGGCCCAGAAGAACCCUGCUUUGGUGUCCCACACCGUCUUCCAGGAGAACGAUCUAAAACUCUGGGUCCCACGUGAUGCCUCUUUCCUCUGUCCCAUUUUCC